This is an RNA transcript of Herpailurus yagouaroundi (jaguarundi), 3176 nucleotides long. It is a transcript of the gene named heterogeneous nuclear ribonucleoprotein A2/B1, with no coding region annotated. Lineage: Eukaryota; Metazoa; Chordata; Mammalia; Carnivora; Felidae. The record is from RefSeq and is a predicted model, not a curated record. The transcript has 13 exons.
AAAGCGGCGGCAGCGGCUCUAGCGGCAGUAGCAGCAGCGCCGGCUCCCGUGUGGAGGUGCUCUUAGCGGUGUUGUUUCUCGAGCAGCAGCAGCUCUCACUACAGCGCCAGGACGAGUCCGGUUCGUGUUCGUCCGCGGAGAUCUCUCUCAUCUCGCUCGGCUGCGGGAAAUCGGGCUGAGGCGACUGAGUCCGCGAUGGAGAAAACUUUAGAAACUGUUCCUUUGGAGAGGAAAAAGAGAGAAAAGGAACAGUUCCGUAAACUUUUUAUUGGUGGCUUGAGCUUUGAAACCACAGAAGAAAGUUUGAGGAACUACUACGAGCAAUGGGGGAAACUUACAGACUGUGUGGUCAUGAGAGAUCCUGCAAGCAAAAGAUCAAGAGGAUUUGGUUUUGUAACUUUUUCGUCCAUGGCUGAGGUUGACGCUGCCAUGGCUGCAAGACCUCAUUCAAUUGAUGGGAGAGUGGUUGAGCCAAAACGUGCUGUUGCAAGAGAGGAAUCUGGAAAGCCAGGGGCUCACGUAACUGUGAAGAAGCUGUUUGUUGGUGGAAUUAAAGAAGAUACUGAGGAACAUCAUCUUAGAGAUUACUUCGAAGAGUAUGGAAAGAUUGAUACCAUUGAGAUAAUUACUGAUAGGCAGUCUGGAAAGAAAAGAGGCUUUGGAUUUGUUACCUUUGAUGAUCAUGAUCCCGUGGAUAAGAUUGUGUUGCAGAAAUAUCAUACCAUCAAUGGUCAUAAUGCAGAAGUAAGAAAGGCUCUGUCUAGACAAGAAAUGCAGGAAGUCCAGAGUUCUAGAAGUGGAAGAGGCGGCAACUUCGGUUUUGGAGAUUCUCGUGGUGGUGGUGGAAAUUUUGGACCAGGCCCGGGAAGUAACUUUAGAGGAGGAUCUGAUGGAUAUGGAAGUGGUCGUGGAUUUGGGGAUGGCUAUAAUGGGUAUGGAGGAGGACCUGGAGGUGGCAAUUUUGGAGGUAGCCCUGGUUAUGGAGGAGGAAGAGGAGGAUAUGGUGGUGGAGGACCUGGAUAUGGCAACCAGGGUGGGGGCUACGGAGGUGGUUAUGACAACUAUGGAGGAGGAAAUUACGGAAGUGGAAAUUACAAUGAUUUUGGAAAUUAUAACCAGCAACCUUCUAACUAUGGUCCAAUGAAGAGUGGAAACUUUGGUGGUAGCAGGAACAUGGGGGGACCAUAUGGUGGAGGAAACUAUGGUCCUGGAGGCAGUGGAGGAAGUGGGGGUUAUGGAGGGAGAAGCCGAUAUUGAGCUUCUUCCUAUUUGCCAUGGGCUUCACUGUAUAAAUAGGAGAGGAUGAGAGCCCAGAGGUAACAGAACAGCUUCAGGUUAUCGAAAUAACAAUGUUAAGGAAACUCUUAUCUCAGUCAUGCAUAAAUAUGCAGUGAUAUGGCAGAAGACACCAGAGCAGAUGCAGAGAGCCAUUUUGUGAAUGGAUUGGAUUAUUUAAUAACAUUACCUUACUGUGGAGGAAGGAUUGUAAAAAAAAAAAAAUGCCUUUGAGACAGUUUCUUAGCUUUUUAAUUGUUGUUUCUUUCUAGUGGUCUUUGUAAGAGUGUAGAAGCAUUCCUUCUUUGAUAAUGUUAAAUUUGUAAGUUUCAGGUGACAUGUGAAACCUUUUUUAAGAUUUUUCUCAAAGUUUUGAAAAGCUAUUAGCCAGGAUCAUGGUGUAAUAAGACAUAACGUUUUUCCUUUAAAAAAAUUUAAGUGCGUGUGUAGAGUUAAGAAGCUGUUGUACAUUUAUGAUUUAAUAAAAUAAUUCUAAAGGAAAUUGUGUAAUUAUAGACUUUUUAUUUUAAAUAAGUUAAGGAGUGGGUAGUAUAAUUAAGGUCCUUUGCAAAGUUGUUGUUAUAUUUGUGUAAGAUAAAUGCUGGUCAGAUAUAAGUGUGUUGUCUGCAAUUCAUCAGGAUUAAAUUAUCUAGAUAACUUAAGGGAUAUCUCUGCAAAGAGAAACACCUUUUUAGAUCUUUUAGAUGCUGCUUCUUCAAUGCAAGGAAAGGAAAUAACCCCAGCGAGGUACUCUUCAGGGAUACAGGUCUAGUACAAGAGAACUCUUGACGGCUACUAAGUUCAGCCAGUCUUAAAAAACUGUGCUGUUUCUACAAAGCUUUAACUACAGUAGUUUAUAAGGAUGACAACGAAAGCUGAGGGUGUAGAGCAAAAUAGUUCUAAGCUUCAGUUAAACUUCUUUAGGUAAGAUCUUAUUUACUUUUCCUUUCUUAAUUUUCCUCCCCAAAAGAUAAACUAAUACUACUCUUCAAUGGUCUUUCAGUAUAGUGGUUCUUAUGUAGUUUAACAUAGCUAUAAAUUUGAGUUUAACAAUUUAUAAACUCAAGAGAAUCUUAUAAACCCUGUUUUCCAAUCUGUCAUUUACUUAAAUUAUUUUGGUUGUUUUUUUCCCCCCUUUUUUCCCUUCUUUCCCACCCCUUCCUCCCUCUAUGAAGAUUCAGGUGCUUAACAUAUCAUUUUUUUCCCUGCUGGAAUUUAGCAUUGAUAUGAACCAUGGACAAGUAUAUUCUGCUGCCACAAAGACUGUAAAGUGCUUCAUUUCAACAGCUGAGGCGCAAGCCAAGUGAUCAUUAAUAAAGCUUUUCUUGGUUCCUUCAGUGGUGUUGGUAGUAAAAUGGAAGGUGUCUUGCUGCAGGUAACUAAUGAAGAAGUGGUCAACCACAGAGUCUUCAAGAAAUAAGAAAUACUGUACCAUCUGAAAGUAGUUCUUGUUGGUGCCUUCAUUUAAAAAAAAAAGCACUUUAAGAUUAAAGGGAAAUGUUUUCUGAUAAAAUACAUCAUUUAGUACAGGUUCUUAAUAUAAAACCAUUACAAAUUGAGUACUGUUUGUAAAAGAGUAACAUCAAGUAAGCUAGAGAGAGAAAUGUAUCAUGUUUUAAAUUAGGUUUUGUGAGUAGACAGAUUAAAAUUCUAUUUUAAAUAUAAAGUUUAUAAAAUAAACAGUUUUGUAUUCAAAUACUUGGUGUAAUGUUUACACAUAAAAUGUGUGAAUCUUGUUCUAUCAACUUACAGUUGUCUAAAAGAUUGCCAUCCCCUAGAGUUUUAAAGCAGUUUCACCAAUCUAUGCAUAUUGCCAUUUUUAUUUCAAUAUUGAUAGUCAAGAAAAGCAUUGUGGACAUUAUUGGCUGUCCCUAAUAAAAUGCCAUUCUUUUUAUACUGUA